UCUUCUCUCUCGCUCCCUCUCUCGCACAUCAAAGUCAUCAGCAUCGACUGUCAUGCUCAGGCGUCUCCCUCUCUCGCUCGUACGCGCACAGCAUCAAUAUAACGCAUACACUCACACUUAGGCACGCACACGCGUACAGACAGCAAAAAGGGAUCAGUGCAUUUGCAGCAGUCAAACAACAAAGAGCGAUCGCAUAGGAAUUUUCUCCUUGCGCACACACACAUAGGCACCCAUACAGACGAACACACGCAAACACCAAAUGACCAUGGGCAUGGGGGGAAAUAGAUAUAGAAAUGAAAAUUCUUAAAAGUUAGUAAACUUACUAACUAAAUUGUACUGGCCCUAACCCCACUU
Molecule: long non-coding RNA, 354 nt
Organism: Drosophila mojavensis
Lineage: Eukaryota; Metazoa; Arthropoda; Insecta; Diptera; Drosophilidae
Exons: 2
Source: RefSeq, a predicted model, not a curated record